ACCAAAUGGUCUAUUCGGUUAAGGUGUUGGUAUCUAAUUGAGAAGGUCGUGGGUUCAAAUCCCACUGGUG
Circinella umbellata is the source of this 70-nucleotide non-coding RNA. The record is from the annotation of a GenBank genome assembly. Lineage: Eukaryota; Fungi; Mucoromycota; Mucoromycetes; Mucorales; Lichtheimiaceae.